RNAcentral lists this ribosomal RNA (1448 nucleotides) under Staphylococcus haemolyticus. Its description in RNAcentral is "bacterial SSU rRNA". It matches the Rfam family "Bacterial small subunit ribosomal RNA". Lineage: Bacteria; Bacillati; Bacillota; Bacilli; Caryophanales; Staphylococcaceae. The record is from RNAcentral.
UGCAGUCGAGCGAACAGACAAGGAGCUUGCUCCUUUGACGUUAGCGGCGGACGGGUGAGUAACACGUGGGUAACCUACCUAUAAGACUGGGAUAACUUCGGGAAACCGGAGCUAAUACCGGAUAAUAUUUCGAACCGCAUGGUUCGAUAGUGAAAGAUGGUUUUGCUAUCACUUAUAGAUGGACCCGCGCCGUAUUAGCUAGUUGGUAAGGUAACGGCUUACCAAGGCGACGAUACGUAGCCGACCUGAGAGGGUGAUCGGCCACACUGGAACUGAGACACGGUCCAGACUCCUACGGGAGGCAGCAGUAGGGAAUCUUCCGCAAUGGGCGAAAGCCUGACGGAGCAACGCCGCGUGAGUGAUGAAGGUCUUCGGAUCGUAAAACUCUGUUAUUAGGGAAGAACAUACGUGUAAGUAACUGUGCACGUCUUGACGGUACCUAAUCAGAAAGCCACGGCUAACUACGUGCCAGCAGCCGCGGUAAUACGUAGGUGGCAAGCGUUAUCCGGAAUUAUUGGGCGUAAAGCGCGCGUAGGCGGUUUUUUAAGUCUGAUGUGAAAGCCCACGGCUCAACCGUGGAGGGUCAUUGGAAACUGGAAAACUUGAGUGCAGAAGAGGAAAGUGGAAUUCCAUGUGUAGCGGUGAAAUGCGCAGAGAUAUGGAGGAACACCAGUGGCGAAGGCGACUUUCUGGUCUGUAACUGACGCUGAUGUGCGAAAAGCGUGGGGAUCAAACAGGAUUAGAUACCCUGGUAGUCCCACGCCGUAAACGAUGAGUGCUAAGUGUUAGGGGGUUUCCGCCCCUUAGUGCUGCAGCUAACGCAUUAAGCACUCCGCCUGGGGAGUACGACCGCAAGGUUGAAACUCAAAGGAAUUGACGGGGACCCGCACAAGCGGUGGAGCAUGUGGUUUAAUUCGAAGCAACGCGAAGAACCUUACCAAAUCUUGACAUCCUUUGACAACUCUAGAGAUAGAGCCUUCCCCUUCGGGGGACAAAGUGACAGGUGGUGCAUGGUUGUCGUCAGCUCGUGUCGUGAGAUGUUGGGUUAAGUCCCGCAACGAGCGCAACCCUUAAGCUUAGUUGCCAUCAUUAAGUUGGGCACUCUAAGUUGACUGCCGGUGACAAACCGGAGGAAGGUGGGGAUGACGUCAAAUCAUCAUGCCCCUUAUGAUUUGGGCUACACACGUGCUACAAUGGACAAUACAAAGGGCAGCGAAACCGCGAGGUCAAGCAAAUCCCAUAAAGUUGUUCUCAGUUCGGAUUGUAGUCUGCAACUCGACUACAUGAAGCUGGAAUCGCUAGUAAUCGUAGAUCAGCAUGCUACGGUGAAUACGUUCCCGGGUCUUGUACACACCGCCCGUCACACCACGAGAGUUUGUAACACCCGAAGCCGGUGGAGUAACCAUUUGGAGCUAGCCGUCGAAGGUGGGACAAAUGAUUGGGGUGAA